AAAUUUGAAAUCUGGCGUAAGCCCGAGUGUAAUUUGUAGAGGAUGCUUCUGGGUAGCGGCCGGUCUAAGUUCCUUGGAACAGGACGUCAUAGAGGGUGAGAAUCCCGUAUGUGACUGGCUUGCACCCUCCACGUAGCUCCUUCGACGAGUCGAGUUGUUUGGGAAUGCAGCUCUAAAUGGGAGGUAAAUUUCUUCUAAAGCUAAAUACCGGCCAGAGACCGAUAGCGCACAAGUAGAGUGAUCGAAAGAUGAAAAGCACUUUGGAAAGAGAGUUAAAAAGCACGUGAAAUUGUUGAAAGGGAAGCGCCCGCAACCAGACUUUGCGGCGGUGUUCGGCUGGUCUUCUGACCGGUUUACUCGCCGCCGUGAGGCCAUCAUCGUCUGGGACCGCUGGAUAAGACCUGAGGAAUGUAGCUCCCUUCGGGGUGUGUUAUAGCCUCUGGUGAUGCAGCGCGUCUCGGGCGAGGUCCGCGCUUCGGCAAGGAUGAUGGCGUAAUGGUUGUCGGCGGCCCGUCUUGAAACACGGACCAAGGAGUCUAACAUCUAUGCGAGUGUUCGGGUGUCAAACCCCUACGCGUAAUGAAAGUGAACGGAGGUGGGAACUUUUUGUGCACCAUCGACCGAUCCUGAUGUCCUCGGAUGGAUUUGAGUAAGAGCAUAGCUGUUGGGACCCGAAAGAUGGUGAACUAUGCCUGAAUAGGGUGAAGCCAGAGGAAACUCUGGUGGAGGCUCGCAGCGGUUCUGACGUGCAAAUCGAUC
This 759-nucleotide ribosomal RNA is filed under the name Pseudocercospora pothomorphes. RNAcentral's name for it is "eukaryotic LSU rRNA". It matches the Rfam family "Eukaryotic large subunit ribosomal RNA", at positions 110 to 903 of the family's 3401-position model. The record is from RNAcentral. Lineage: Eukaryota; Fungi; Ascomycota; Dothideomycetes; Mycosphaerellales; Mycosphaerellaceae.